GAUGAACGCUGGCGGCGUGCCUAAUACAUGCAAGUCGAGCGAACGGACGAGAAGCUUGCUUCUCUGAUGUUAGCGGCGGACGGGUGAGUAACACGUGGAUAACCUACCUAUAAGACUGGGAUAACUUCGGGAAACCGGAGCUAAUACCGGAUAAUAUUUUGAACCGCAUGGUUCAAAAGUGAAAGACGGUCUUGCUGUCACUUAUAGAUGGAUCCGCGCUGCAUUAGCUAGUUGGUAAGGUAACGGCUUACCAAGGCAACGAUGCAUAGCCGACCUGAGAGGGUGAUCGGCCACACUGGAACUGAGACACGGUCCAGACUCCUACGGGAGGCAGCAGUAGGGAAUCUUCCGCAAUGGGCGAAAGCCUGACGGAGCAACGCCGCGUGAGUGAUGAAGGUCUUCGGAUCGUAAAACUCUGUUAUUAGGGAAGAACAUAUGUGUAAGUAACUGUGCACAUCUUGACGGUACCUAAUCAGAAAGCCACGGCUAACUACGUGCCAGCAGCCGCGGUAAUACGUAGGUGGCAAGCGUUAUCCGGAAUUAUUGGGCGUAAAGCGCGCGUAGGCGGUUUUUUAAGUCUGAUGUGAAAGCCCACGGCUCAACCGUGGAGGGUCAUUGGAAACUGGAAAACUUGAGUGCAGAAGAGGAAAGUGGAAUUCCAUGUGUAGCGGUGAAAUGCGCAGAGAUAUGGAGGAACACCAGUGGCGAAGGCGACUUUCUGGUCUGUAACUGACGCUGAUGUGCGAAAGCGUGGGGAUCAAACAGGAUUAGAUACCCUGGUAGUCCACGCCGUAAACGAUGAGUGCUAAGUGUUAGGGGGUUUCCGCCCCUUAGUGCUGCAGCUAACGCAUUAAGCACUCCGCCUGGGGAGUACGACCGCAAGGUUGAAACUCAAAGGAAUUGACGGGGACCCGCACAAGCGGUGGAGCAUGUGGUUUAAUUCGAAGCAACGCGAAGAACCUUACCAAAUCUUGACAUCCUUUGACAACUCUAGAGAUAGAGCCUUCCCCUUCGGGGGACAAAGUGACAGGUGGUGCAUGGUUGUCGUCAGCUCGUGUCGUGAGAUGUUGGGUUAAGUCCCGUAACGAGCGCAACCCUUAAGCUUAGUUGCCAUCAUUAAGUUGGGCACUCUAAGUUGACUGCCGGUGACAAACCGGAGGAAGGUGGGGAUGACGUCAAAUCAUCAUGCCCCUUAUGAUUUGGGCUACACACGUGCUACAAUGGACAAUACAAAGGGCAGCGAAACCGCGAGGUCAAGCAAAUCCCAUAAAGUUGUUCUCAGUUCGGAUUGUAGUCUGCAACUCGACUACAUGAAGCUGGAAUCGCUAGUAAUCGUAGAUCAGCAUGCUACGGUGAAUACGUUCCCGGGUCU
This 1372-nucleotide ribosomal RNA is filed under the name uncultured bacterium. Its description in RNAcentral is "bacterial SSU rRNA". It matches the Rfam family "Bacterial small subunit ribosomal RNA", at positions 28 to 1381 of the family's 1533-position model. The record is from RNAcentral.